This 503-nucleotide ribosomal RNA is filed under the name uncultured bacterium. RNAcentral describes it as "partial 16S ribosomal RNA". It matches the Rfam family "Bacterial small subunit ribosomal RNA", at positions 30 to 523 of the family's 1533-position model. The record is from RNAcentral.
AUUGAACGCUGGCGGCAGGCUUAACACAUGCAAGUCGAGCGGGGUGAUGGUGCUUGCACUAUCACUUAGCGGCGGACGGGUGAGUAAUGCUUAGGAAUCUGCCUAUUAGUGGGGGACAACAUCUCGAAAGGGAUGCUAAUACCGCAUACGUCCUACGGGAGAAAGCAGGGGAUCACUUGUGACCUUGCGCUAAUAGAUGAGCCUAAGUCGGAUUAGCUAGUUGGUGGGGUAAAGGCCUACCAAGGCGACGAUCUGUAGCGGGUCUGAGAGGAUGAUCCGCCACACUGGGACUGAGACACGGCCCAGACUCCUACGGGAGGCAGCAGUGGGGAAUAUUGGACAAUGGGCGGAAGCCUGAUCCAGCCAUGCCGCGUGUGUGAAGAAGGCCUUUUGGUUGUAAAGCACUUUAAGCGAGGAGGAGGCUCUUAAGGUUAAUACCCUUGAUGAGUGGACGUUACUCGCAGAAUAAGCACCGGCUAACUCUGUGCCAGCCGCCGCAGUAA